This 87-nucleotide transfer RNA is filed under the name Candidatus Stercoripulliclostridium pullicola. RNAcentral describes it as "tRNA-Leu". It matches the Rfam family "tRNA". Rfam says of the family: Transfer RNA (tRNA) molecules are approximately 80 nucleotides in length. Their secondary structure includes four short double-helical elements and three loops (D, anti-codon, and T loops). Further hydrogen bonds mediate the characteristic L-shaped molecular structure. tRNAs have two regions of fundamental functional importance: the anti-codon, which is responsible for specific mRNA codon recognition, and the 3' end, to which the tRNAs corresponding amino acid is attached (by aminoacyl-tRNA synthetases). tRNAs cope with the degeneracy of the genetic code in two manners: having more than one tRNA (with a specific anti-codon) for a particular amino acid; and 'wobble' base-pairing, i.e. permitting non-standard base-pairing at the 3rd anti-codon position. The record is from RNAcentral. Lineage: Bacteria; Bacillati; Bacillota; Clostridia; Eubacteriales.
GCCGUUAUGGCGGAAUAGGCAGACGCAAGGGACUUAAAAUCCCUCGAUGGCAACAUCGUGUCGGUUCGACCCCGACUAACGGCACCA